This 1066-nucleotide long non-coding RNA is filed under the name Callithrix jacchus (white-tufted-ear marmoset). Its description in RNAcentral is "lncRNA (ENSCJAG00000072772.1)". The record is from RNAcentral. Lineage: Eukaryota; Metazoa; Chordata; Mammalia; Primates; Cebidae.
GAAAGAACCAAUCAAGUCAGAGAAAAUAGUGAAGAAAGAGGGGGUUAGCGCUUUUACUAACCCAGUCAGUGUUGAGUGUUUUCUCUGUGAUUGUGGUUUGAGAAGGCUGAUAUAUACCAUGAGUAGUGAGGCAUCAACAGAAAGGAUGCAUUUCCUUUAAUUGUUUUCCUUUCUUCAGAAAGUAUUAUGGCACCGCAUGCUGGAUCCCAUGGCGAAUCUAAGAAAACUGGCUAAAAUGCAUUUUGUCUAUGAGGGACCAUACAUCUCCGUCCUUUCUCUGUAAGACCCCAACACACAUAACUGAUCUCAAGGUGGGAUAUGAUGGGAGUUCUGAGAUGUCAACACCAUAUUCAGCAAGGUGAAUAGUGCUGGGAAUACGCUGAACCAGUGAGACAACAAGGUGAGUUUGUGUGAGAGUCGGGUCUUAAAAACUACUUUAUCUCACCCUCAGCUUCCCCCUCUUCUUAUAUUUGACCAGGCCUGUUAUGACACUGAAGAUACAGGAAUACCUUCUUCUGCCAAGUUCUUCUCAGAGCAGGCUGAGAUGAAAAGGGAGCAUGCAAAGCGAUUCCUAAGAUAUCUAAGAAAACGUGAGAGUAUGAUCUGCCUUCCAGUUACUAAGGAAGCAGAAUGCAACAAAACUGUGCCUGAAGUAGAAAAGCGACUCUCCUGUUCAUCUCCAAUAGAGGCCUGACAGAAAUAACCGGGGAAGUGGCUUACAAGCCCUGAAAUCCGCUCUGCAGUUGGAGAACAUGUUAACCGAUGUCCUCCAGGACCUGAAAACCACAGCUUCUAAGGAUGAAGAAACUGAGCUCAUAAACGUCGUAAUGGAGUUCCUACAUAAACAGGGAACAAACAUAGCUUUUUUGGAACAUGGACAGAAGGUAUUAGAAGAGUUUCUCCAACAGAAAGGCCCAUCUGAAAAGUCUGCUAAGACAUCAGGUGAAGAGACUUAACUUCUGAAGGCAGCACAGCAAGUCUUCCCAUUGUAGUGAUCCCAGAGUCAGCUACUUAAGUCCUGAUCAGUUCCACUUGCCUGAAGACUGCUUUGCUUUUUAUAUAGUUU